Molecule: long non-coding RNA, 1452 nt
Filed under: Panicum hallii
Lineage: Eukaryota; Viridiplantae; Streptophyta; Magnoliopsida; Poales; Poaceae
Description: long non-coding RNA (PHAL_LNC000135)
Source: RNAcentral
GUUCGGCAACGGUACCUGCGAGAUCUCCCCGGAGUUUAAGGAGGAUGUUCUGAAGAUCAAGUAAAUGUCACCAAGGGAAUAUCGGAAGCCCCGAACCAAAGUUCGGGAGAUAUUAACAUUCCUAACUUCAGACUCACCAGUAAAGGCAAGCCCCGGACAUAACCUACUAUUUUAUUACACUGCAAUCUAUAUCUAUUUACGUAUUCUAUGCAUUAAGUUCUUAGGAAUUGCUUGAAAACCCUAGUUGCAUUUUCCCUAGGAACCAAUGUGAUGAAUACUAGCACUUGAGUCCGACUAGCUGCUAUGCUAAUAGGACCGGUAGAAGUCGGGUGAUUUCCUGUCACUCGCGCGAUAUAGGAAUUGUAAUGUUACAUUCCUGUUACCACUAUAAGGAUGCCGGACGGGAGUUUUGUGCGGUAUCAUGGCUGAGAUGAUACCCCGUCUGUGUUGAUGAAUCUGAUAAGGUCGCAGUGUGUGGAAGUGCGGGUUAAGUGUUUGAAAGUACUAGCCACAUGCCGUGAGUUAUGGGUAAGCGGUAAGCCUAGUAGCCAAUCGGCCCGAGGAGUGGACAUACCUCCCACCACAUGUAUUUGGUUCUUUUGGUUACUUGGUUCGACUGGGGAAAUACGUGUUGCAAGGGCAACCAGGAAUACGGGUUUUGUAGUCGCGCUACAGACGUAUGUCCUGCACACAUUGGGUGUGCGUAUGUUCCUGCAGUCGCUUGUGGUGGCUCUGAUCCACGAGUCGGAAUGAAAGGCAAACGGUUGCUUUGGAAUGACCCUGUGGUGUUCCAAGCGUGUGUGUUAGGUUUACCUUGCAAGGUUAAAUUCGAUUCGAAUCGUCCGCUUCUCACGAAGAUUGAGACUGCUUGAUCCCUUUUCCACAUAGAGUAACAAGAGCAAUAUUAUGGUUAUCAAAGAUGAUGUUUGACCAAAGAUUAUACCAUGCUUGCUUAGUUAUAGGUGCUUACCUAGAAUGGAUAAUUAACUAGAAUCUGAAAGCUAAAACUUGAAGUUAAGGAUCUACUCUUUGUUGCUUUUCAGCUGAAACUAAACCCAGAACCAUUAUAAGCUUUCAUAGGUCUAGUUAUGGGCUAAGUAUACCCAAUCCCGGGUAAGCCUUGCUGAGUAUUAGUAUACUCAGCCUUGCUAGCUUUAUGUUUUUCAGGUAAAGCCUUUGAAGACCCUACUGUUUCCUUGUCAUGGCCCUGUGCUUUUCCAGAAGAUUGGUCCGACGAAUGGGAUCCGUCCCCGACCAACACUGAUGAUCUCGAGUGAUGUCGUGUCUGGGCUUAGCAUGACAUCCACCUUGACGACGUGUUGUUAUUCUUCGCGUAUGUUUUCCGCUGCUUUUGACCCUAGCUUUACAGUUGUAAUCUUUCUGUAGAUUUGAAAAUUCAUACUUCUUUUGGAAAUUCUUGUAAUGAAAUUCUCUAUGAUGUAAAACGUGCUG